GAUGGACGCUAGCGGCAGGCCUAACACAUGCAAGUCGAGGGAGGAGCCUUCGGGCUUCGACCGGCGUACGGGUGCGUAACGCGUAUACAAUCUGCCUUUCACAUAGGGAUAGCCCGAAGAAAUUUGGAUUAAUACCUAAUGGUAUAUAGAUGUGGCAUCACCUUUAUAUUAAAGCUGAGGCGGUGAAAGAUGAGUAUGCGUUCUAUUAGCUAGUUGGAGAGGUAACGGCUCCCCAAGGCGACGAUAGAUAGGGGUUCUGAGAGGGAUAUCCCCCACACUGGUACUGAGAUACGGACCAGACUCCUACGGGAGGCAGCAGUGAGGAAUAUUGGACAAUGGUCGGAAGACUGAUCCAGCCAUGCCGCGUGCAGGAAGACGGCCUUAUGGGUUGUAAACUGCUUUUGCAGGGGAAGAAUAAGGACUACGCGUAGUUUGAUGACGGUACUCUGCGAAUAAGCAUCGGCUAACUCCGUG
RNAcentral lists this ribosomal RNA (474 nucleotides) under uncultured bacterium. Its description in RNAcentral is "partial 16S ribosomal RNA". It matches the Rfam family "Bacterial small subunit ribosomal RNA", at positions 28 to 507 of the family's 1533-position model. The record is from RNAcentral.